AGAGUUUGAUCCUGGCUCAGAUUGAACGCUGGCGGAAUGCUUUACACAUGCAAGUCGAACGGCAGCGCGGGGCAACCUGGCGGCGAGUGGCGAACGGGUGAGUAAUAUAUCGGAACGUACCCUGGAGUGGGGGAUAACGUAGCGAAAGUUACGCUAAUACCGCAUACGAUCUAAGGAUGAAAGUGGGGGAUUCGCAAGAACCUCAUGCUCCUGGAGCGGCCGAUAUCUGAUUAGCUAGUUGGUGGGGUAAAGGCCUACCAAGGCAUCGAUCAGUAGCUGGUCUGAGAGGACGACCAGCCACACUGGAACUGAGACACGGUCCAGACUCCUACGGGAGGCAGCAGUGGGGAAUUUUGGACAAUGGGCGAAAGCCUGAUCCAGCAAUGCCGCGUGAGUGAAGAAGGCCUUCGGGUUGUAAAGCUCUUUUGUCAGGGAAGAAACGGUGAGGGCUAAUAUCUCUUGCUAAUGACGGUACCUGAAGAAUAAGCACCGGCUAACUACGUGCCAGCAGCCGCGGUAAUACGUAGGGUGCAAGCGUUAAUCGGAAUUACUGGGCGUAAAGCGUGCGCAGGCGGUUUUGUAAGUUUGUCGUGAAAGCCCCGGGCUCAACCUGGGAAUUGCGAUGAAGACUGCAAGGCUUGAAUCUGGCAGAGGGGGGUAGAAUUCCACGUGUAGCAGUGAAAUGCGUAGAGAUGUGGAGGAACACCGAUGGCGAAGGCAGCCCCCUGGGUCAAGAUUGACGCUCAUGCACGAAAGCGUGGGGAGCAAACAGGAUUAGAUACCCUGGUAGUCG
This 793-nucleotide ribosomal RNA is filed under the name uncultured bacterium. Its description in RNAcentral is "bacterial SSU rRNA". It matches the Rfam family "Bacterial small subunit ribosomal RNA", at positions 8 to 796 of the family's 1533-position model. The record is from RNAcentral.